Molecule: ribosomal RNA, 846 nt
Filed under: Sarcocystis cruzi
Lineage: Eukaryota; Apicomplexa; Conoidasida; Eucoccidiorida; Sarcocystidae
Description: SSU rRNA
Rfam family: Eukaryotic small subunit ribosomal RNA
Source: RNAcentral
ACCGAACGGAUCGCAUUAUGGUCAUUUUAUAUGGCUGGCGAUAGAUCAUUCAAGUUUCUGACCUAUCAGCUUUCGACGGUAGUGUAUUGGACUACCGUGGCAGUGACGGGUAACGGGGAAUUAGGGUUCGAUUCCGGAGAGGGAGCCUGAGAAACGGCUACCACAUCUAAGGAAGGCAGCAGGCGCGCAAAUUACCCAAUCCUGACUCAGGGAGGUAGUGACAAGAAAUAACAACACUGGAAAUUUUAUUUCUAGUGAUUGGAAUGAUGGGAAUUUAAACCCCUUUCAGAGUAACAAUUGGAGGGCAAGUCUGGUGCCAGCAGCCGCGGUAAUUCCAGCUCCAAUAGCGUAUAUUAAAGUUGUUGCAGUUAAAAAGCUCGUAGUUGGAUGUCUGCUGGAAGCAAUCAGUCCGCCCUAUUUGUAGGGUGUGCACUUGAUGAAUUCUGGCAUCUAUAUCCCAAUAAUAUGAUGGUGUAUACCCUGUGUACACCCAUCUAUAUUGGGAUAAUACCGUUACUUUGAGAAAAUUAGAGUGUUUGAAGCAGGCUAAUUGCCUUGAAUACUGCAGCAUGGAAUAACAAUAUAGGAUUUCGGUUCUAUUUUGUUGGUUUCUAGGACUGAAAUAAUGAUUAAUAGGGACAGUUGGGGGCAUUCGUAUUUAACUGUCAGAGGUGAAAUUCUUAGAUUUGUUAAAGACGAACUACUGCGAAAGCAUUUGCCAAAGAUGUUUUCAUUAAUCAAGAACGAAAGUUAGGGGCUCGAAGACGAUCAGAUACCGUCGUAGUCUUAACCAUAAACUAUGCCGACUAGAGAUAGGAAAAUGUCAUUUUUCUGACUUCUCCUGCA